CCUACGGGAGGCAGCAGUGAGGAAUAUUGGUCAAUGGGCGCGAGCCUGAACCAGCCAAGUCGCGUGAGGGAAGACGGUCCUAUGGAUUGUAAACCUCUUUUGUCGGGGAGCAAAAGACGCCACGCGUGGCGUUCCGAGAGUACCCGAAGAAAAAGCAUCGGCUAACUCCGUGCCAGCAGCCGCGGUAAUAUGGAGGAUGCGAGCGUUAUCCGGAUUUAUUGGGUUUAAAGGGUGCGCAGGCGGAAGAUCAAGUCAGCGGGAAAAUUGAGAGGCUCAACCUCUUCGAGCCGUUGAAACUGGUUUUCUUGAGUGAGUGAGAGGUAGGCGGAAUGCGUGGUGUAGCGGUGAAAUGCAUAGAUAUCACGCAGAACUCCGAUUGCGAAGGCAGCAUACCGGCGCUCAACUGACGCUGAUGCACGAAAGUGUGGGUAUCGAACAGGAUUAGAUACCCCAGUAGUC
Molecule: ribosomal RNA, 459 nt
Filed under: uncultured bacterium
Lineage: Bacteria
Description: partial 16S ribosomal RNA
Rfam family: Bacterial small subunit ribosomal RNA
Source: RNAcentral